Molecule: ribosomal RNA, 1408 nt
Filed under: freshwater metagenome
Description: bacterial LSU rRNA
Rfam family: Bacterial large subunit ribosomal RNA
Source: RNAcentral
CAGUGACCGAUAGUGAACUAGUACCGUGAGGGAAAGGUGAAAAGAACCCCUAUUAGGGGAGUGAAAUAGAACCUGAAACCGGAUGCCUACAAUCAGUCGGAGCUCUAUAUGAGUGACGACGUACCUUUUGUAUAAUGGGUCAGUGACUUUAUCUGUGCAGCAAGCUUAAGCCGAAAAGGUGUAGGCGUAGCGAAAGCGAGUCUGAAUAGGGCGAUGAGUUGUACGGAUAAGAACCCGAAACCUAGUGAUCUAGUUAUGAGCAGGUUGAAGGUAAGGUAACACUUACUGGAGGACCGAACCGGUGCCUGUUGAAAAAGGCUCGGAUGACUUGUGAUUAGGGGUGAAAGGGCAAUCAAACUGGGAGAUAGCUGGUUUUCCGCGAAAACUAUUUAGGUAGUGCGUUGAAUAAUAAGAUCUUGAGGGGUAGAGCACUAAAUAGGCUAGGGGGAAGAAAUUCUUACUAAACCUAAUAAAACUCCGAAUACUCAAGAUUGUUUCUCAAUAGACAGACGGUGGGAGCUAACUUCCAUCGUCGAGAGGGAAAAAACCCAGACCACCAUCUAAGGUCCCAAAAUCGUAGUUAAGUGUGAAAGGAUGUGAAGACUCCAAAACAGCCGGGAGGUUGGCUUAGAAGCAGCCAUCCUUUAAAGAAAGCGUAACAGCUCACCGGUCUAAUUAAGAGACUUUGCGCCGAAGAUGUAACGGGGCUCAAACUACGUACCGAAGUUGUGGAUUUAAAGUGUCUACGGACAUUUUAUCUGGUAGCGGAACGUUCUGUAAGUCUGUGAAGGGAUACCCGCGAGGGGUCCUGGAGAUAUCAGAAGUGCGAAUGCUGACAUAAGUAGCGACAAACAGAGUGAAAGACUCUGUCGCCGAAAAUACAAGGGUUCCUGCGUAAAGUUAAUCUUCGCAGGGUUAGUCGGCCCCUAAGGCGAGGGCGAAAGCCGUAGUCGAUGGGAACAAGGUAAAUAUUCCUUGACCUGAUGGUAGUGACGGAUCUCGUAUAUUGUAAGUUCUUAUUGGAUUGAACUUGCCUUGAAGAGGUCCCAGGAAAUAACUCCAUCAUUAAGACCGUACCCUAAACGGACACACGUGUAUUGGUAGAGAAUACCUAGGCGCUUGAGAGAAUGAUGUUGAAGGAACUCGGCAACUUGCCUCUGUAACUUCGGGAUAAAGAGGGCCUUAUUUUGCGCAAGCAGAGUAAGGUGGCACAAGCCAGGGAGUAGCGACUGUUUAACAAAAACACAGGACUCUGCUAACACGUAAGUGGAUGUAUAGGGUCUGACGCCUGCCCGGUGCCGGAAGGUUAAAGCAAGAUGUGCAAGCAUCGAACUGAAGCCCCGGUGAACGGCGGCCGUAACUAUAACGGUCCUAAGGUAGCGAAAUUCCUUGUCGGGUAAGUUCCGAC